UGGGGAAUAUUGGACAAUGGGCGAAAGCCUGAUCCAGCCAUGCCGCGUGUGUGAAGAAGGCCUUUUGGUUGUAAAGCACUUUAAGCGAGGAGGAGGCUACUUGGAUUAAUACUCUAGGAUAGUGGACGUUACUCGCAGAAUAAGCACCGGCUAACUCUGUGCCAGCAGCCGCGGUAAUACAGAGGGUGCGAGCGUUAAUCUGAUUUACUGGGCGUAAAGCGUGCGUAGGCGGCUUCUUAAGUCGGAUGUGAAAUCCCUGAGCUUAACUUAGGAAUUGCAUUCGAUACUGGGAAGCUAGAGUAUGGGAGAGGAUGGUAGAAUUCCAGGUGUAGCGGUGAAAUGCGUAGAGAUCUGGAGGAAUACCGAUGGCGAAGGCAGCCAUCUGGCCUAAUACUGACGCUGAGGUACGAAAGCAUGGGGAGCAAACAGG
RNAcentral lists this ribosomal RNA (430 nucleotides) under Acidobacteriota bacterium. Its description in RNAcentral is "Acidobacteria bacterium partial 16S ribosomal RNA". It matches the Rfam family "Bacterial small subunit ribosomal RNA", at positions 355 to 776 of the family's 1533-position model. The record is from RNAcentral. Lineage: Bacteria; Pseudomonadati; Acidobacteriota.